UGGUUCCGGCAUCGAUGAAGAACGCAGCGAAUUGCGAAACGUAGUGUGAAUUGCAGAAUUCAGCGAACCAUCGAAUCUUUGAACGCACAUUGCGCCCGCCGGUAUCCCGGCGGGCAUGCCUGUCCGAGCGUCGUUAAACCGCCCAGGCCAUGUCUGGUGUUAGGGCUCCGCGAUUGGGCGGACUCUGGAAGCUAGCGGCAGCUCGUAUACAGCCCGAGCGUGGUACUCUAUCAAGUUCAGCUCCAGGCCCUCUAGGCUUGGAAUUGGGCAUCGCUCAGGGUUUGUAAGCGAGUGUCUGCCGGAAUACUAUAUAUACAAGCUCGACCUCGGAUCAGGUAGGAAUACCCGCUGA
This 352-nucleotide unclassified non-coding RNA is filed under the name uncultured fungus. Its description in RNAcentral is "partial contains 5.8S ribosomal RNA and internal transcribed spacer 2". The stretch from base 1 to 133 matches the Rfam family "5.8S ribosomal RNA", at positions 22 to 154 of the family's 154-position model. The record is from RNAcentral. Lineage: Eukaryota; Fungi.